GAUGAACGCUGGCGGCGUGCCUCAAACAUGCAAGUCGAGCGGGGCUAUGUAAUAUCGCAAGGUAGAACAUAGCCUAGCGGCGAACGGGUGAGUAACACGUGGGUAACCUGCCUGGAAGACAGGGAUAACGAUUCGAAAGGGUCGCUAAUACCUGAUAAUAUCCUUUCAUCGCAUGGUGAUAGGAAGAAAGGGGAAACCCGCUUUCAGAUGGGCCCGCGUCCCAUCAGCUAGUUGGUAAGGUAAAGGCUUACCAAGGCGACGAUGGGUAGCCGGCCUGAGAGGGUGGACGGCCACACUGGGACUGAGACACGGCCCAGACUCCUACGGGAGGCAGCAGUAGGGAAUAUUGCGCAAUGGACGGAAGUCUGACGCAGCGACGCCGCGUGAGCGAUGAAGGUCUUCGGAUCGUAAAGCUCUGUCCUUGGGGAAGAAGGCGAAAGCUUGACGGUACCCAAGAAGAAAGCCCCGGCUAACUACGUGCCAGCAGCCGCGGUAAUAGUACUCUA
Molecule: ribosomal RNA, 506 nt
Filed under: uncultured bacterium
Lineage: Bacteria
Description: bacterial SSU rRNA
Rfam family: Bacterial small subunit ribosomal RNA
Source: RNAcentral